Molecule: transfer RNA, 107 nt
Filed under: Candidatus Thorarchaeota archaeon
Lineage: Archaea; Promethearchaeati; Candidatus Thorarchaeota
Description: tRNA-Met
Rfam family: tRNA
About the family: Transfer RNA (tRNA) molecules are approximately 80 nucleotides in length. Their secondary structure includes four short double-helical elements and three loops (D, anti-codon, and T loops).
Source: RNAcentral
GCCGCAGUGGCCUAGCCUGGCAGGGCGCGAGACUCAUAAUCUCGAAGUCGCGGGCUCGAAUCGUCAUCACAUUUCGUGAUGGUGAAAGCAUCCCGUCUGCGGCACCA